UAUAAGAAGACAUUGUACUGCUAAGCUUAUUGAUGAUAUAUAAGUUAAUUUACUGAGAUGCUGAAGGACACACCAUAACAGAAAUAAAAGUGUAAAAAGGAGAGGAAAAGAGAGAAAGAACAAGUAUAAGAAGACUUUGUACUGCUAAGCUUAUUGAUGAUAUAUAAGUUAAUUUACUGAGAUGCUGAAGAACACACCAUGGAGGAAAUAAAAGUGUAGGAAAAGUAGAGAAGGAAAAUUAUAAGAAGACAUUUUGCUACUAACUUUACUAAUAAGUUAAUGAACCGAGCCGUUCGUCGACUAAAUUAAACCUCGGAACUUAUUUAAACAUUCGAUAAUUCUGUCCGUCAUUCGUAAGGUGCAAUUACUAAUAUACAAAGACAUCAUAAGACAGAUAUAUUUAUACAGGACUCACGCUGAACUGUCGGUUGUGGACGAAAUAAAAUGUACAUAGACUGUU
This is a long non-coding RNA of Eriocheir sinensis (Chinese mitten crab), 460 nucleotides long. RefSeq lists it as uncharacterized. The transcript has 2 exons. Lineage: Eukaryota; Metazoa; Arthropoda; Malacostraca; Decapoda; Varunidae. The record is from RefSeq and is a predicted model, not a curated record.